Molecule: ribosomal RNA, 1093 nt
Filed under: uncultured bacterium
Lineage: Bacteria
Description: bacterial SSU rRNA
Rfam family: Bacterial small subunit ribosomal RNA
Source: RNAcentral
CAUUAUGUGCUUGCACAUUUUGGACGUCGACCGGCGCACGGGUGAGUAUCGCGUAUCCAACCUGCCCUUUACUUGGGGAUACCCCGUUGAAAGACGGCCUAAUACCCGAUGUAAUUCAUUGAUGGCAUCAGAUAUGAAUAAAAGAUUUAUCGGUAAAGGAUGGGGAUGCGUCUGAUUAGCUUGUUGGUGAGGUAAAGGCUCACCAAGGCGACGAUCAGUAGGGGUUCUGAGAGGAAGGUCCCCCACAUUGGAACUGAGACACGGUCCAAACUCCUACGGGAGGCAGCAGUGAGGAAUAUUGGUCAAUGGGCGCAAGCCUGAACCAGCCAAGUAGCGUGCAGGAAGACGGCCCUAUGGGUUGUAAACUGCUUUUAUACGAGAAUAGUUUGAUGCACGUGUGCGUUAUUGCAUGUAUCGUAUGAAUAAGGACCGGCUAAUUCCGUGCCAGCAGCCGCGGUAAUACGGAAGGUCCAGGCGUUAUCCGGAUUUAUUGGGUUUAAAGGGAGUGUAGGCGGUUUGUUAAGCGUGUUGUGAAAUUUAGAUGCUCAACAUUUAACUUGCAGCGCGAACUGUCAGACUUGAGUACACGCAACGUAUGCGGAAUUCAUGGUGUAGCGGUGAAAUGCUUAGAUAUCAUGAAGAACUCCGAUUGCGAAGGCAGCAUACGGGAGUGUAACUGACGCUUAAGCUCGAAGGUGCGGGUAUCGAACAGGAUUAGAUACCCUGGUAGUCCGCACAGUAAACGAUGGAUGCCCGCUGUUAGCGCCUGGCGUUAGCGGCUAAGCGAAAGCAUUAAGCAUCCCACCUGGGGAGUACGCCGGCAACGGUGAAACUCAAAGGAAUUGACGGGGGCCCGCACAAGCGGAGGAACAUGUGGUUUAAUUCGAUGAUACGCGAGGAACCUUACCCGGGCUUGAAUUGCAGAGGAAUUAUUUAGAGAUAAAUAUGCCCUUCGGGGUCUCUGUGAAGGUGCUGCAUGGUUGUCGUCAGCUCGUGCCGUGAGGUGUCGGCUUAAGUGCCAUAACGAGCGCAACCCCUUUUCUUAGUUGCCAUCAGGUAAUGCUGGGCACUCUGGGAACACUGCCACCGCAAG